AGAGUUUGAUCCUGGCUCAGGACGAACGCUGGCGGUGUGCUUCACACAUGCAAGUCGAGCGAAUGAAGUAGGUAGCUUGCUACUUAUGGAUUUAGCGGCGGACGGGUGAGUAAUAUAUAGGAAUCUGCCUUAGAGCGGGGAACAACAGACCGAAAGGUUUGCUAAUGCCCCAUAGGUACGCAGUCUUCGGAUUGUUUAUUAAAGGAGUAAUCCACUCUAGGAUGAGCCUGUAUCCGAUUAGCUAGUUGGCGGGGUAAAGGCCCACCAAGGCUACGAUCGGUAGUUGGUCUGAGAGGAUGAUCAGCCACAAUGGGACUGAGACACGGCCCAUACUCCUACGGGAGGCAGCAGUGGGGAAUUUUACACAAUGGGGGAAACCCUGAUGUAGCGACACCGCGUGAACGAAGAAGCCUUUUGGGGUGUAAAGUUCUGUCGGCUGGAACGAAAAAAAUGACGGUACCAGCAAAGGAAGCAUCGGCUAACUACGUGCCAGCAGCCGCGGUAAGACGUAGGAUGCAAGCGUUGUCCGGAUUUAUUGGGCGUAAAGAGUUCGUAGGCGGUUAUUUAAGUCUGGUGUUAAAUACUGUGGCCCAACCACAGAACUGCAUUGGAUACUGGAUGACUUGAGUGCGGUAGAGGCGAGUGGAAUUCCCAGUGUAGCGGUGAAAUGCGUAGA
RNAcentral lists this ribosomal RNA (676 nucleotides) under uncultured bacterium. Its description in RNAcentral is "bacterial SSU rRNA". It matches the Rfam family "Bacterial small subunit ribosomal RNA", at positions 8 to 694 of the family's 1533-position model. The record is from RNAcentral.